Molecule: ribosomal RNA, 253 nt
Filed under: uncultured bacterium
Lineage: Bacteria
Description: partial 16S ribosomal RNA
Rfam family: Bacterial small subunit ribosomal RNA
Source: RNAcentral
UACGUAGGGUACGAGCGUUGUCCGGAAUUAUUGGGCGUAAAGAGCUCGUAGGUGGUUGGUCACGUCUGCUGUGGAAACGCAACGCUUAACGUUGCGCGGGCAGUGGGUACGGGCCGGCUGGAGUGCAGUAGGGGAGUCUGGAAUUCCUGGUGUAGCGGUGAAAUGCGCAGAUAUCAGGAGGAACACCGGUGGCGAAGGCGGGACUCUGGGCUGUUACUGACGCUGAGGAGCGAAAGCAUGGGGAGCGAACAGG